RNAcentral lists this long non-coding RNA (956 nucleotides) under Numida meleagris (helmeted guineafowl). RNAcentral describes it as "lncRNA (ENSNMEG00000012142.1)". Lineage: Eukaryota; Metazoa; Chordata; Aves; Galliformes; Numididae. The record is from RNAcentral.
UGAUGGUUGGACUUGAGAUAUUGUAGUGUUUUUUUCCCACCUUUAUGAUGCUUUGACUCUAAUCACCCCCACAAACCCCAGCUGCAUCCUGGGGCUCAUUUGUGUUUCACACCUGCAGCCCAUUGCUGCUCAAUCCUCCUCCUUUUAUCCCUGGUCCUGCGUCAGUGCUAGCCUUUGGUGCUACCAGACCCAUCACCAGGGAAGAACAGCAGCAGGAAGAUACGGAAACGUCUCGAACGUGCCCCUGGCGUGUUGCAGCAGACAGCUUAAGCCGAGAGAAAAUUCUUUGGCAGUGACAUCAAUUCGGCGGCCUGACUUCUGCGGGAGUGUUCAAACCCAUCUCAUAAGUGGCUCGCAGCUGCUGAAAGACGGCUCUCGCCUGGUGCUGGGGAUGGCUCCUUCACCUCGAGAGGAGCCUGAGCCUCUCCGAGAUGAGCGUGCUGUUUCCCUGUGGUUUCUCAUGGCUUUGGGUAAGGCUCGUUUCAGUUUGCCAAAGCUCUCCCCAUUUAACCAAAAGAUCAGAGUAACACGUCACCAAUUUCUGCAGGUUGUCAUACAGGGCAUGCGGGAAUGGUCUUUGAUGGCCCUUGCAUGAGACCAUGAGUAAUUGAUUCUUCAUGGAGAGAGCUUUGGGCAAGUCAUUCCUACUGCUCACAAGGCUAAGGGCGUCCAGUACGCAUCCCCAGGCACGGCCUGGCCCACAGAUGGGGAUGUUUGAUGGAGUAACGGUGUGAAGUGGGCACUGGUUGUGCUGCAGGAGAGUGUGUGGUGGAACAGCACUGUCCUUGAUCAAGUGGUGGUGAAGAGCUGACCCAGCCCUCGUGCAGAACCCAAAGGAGACAAGAAAAUUCUGUGCCAGCUUCUUUGCAGACAGAAGGUGGGUGAUGAAUGGGAGCUGUGAAAGUAGCAGUUCCCAGCUUUGAUCAGCAUGCCAAUCAUACAUAUAUAUAUAUGUA